UACGUAGGGUGCGAGCGUUAAUCGGAAUUACUGGGCGUAAAGCGUGCGCAGGCGGUUCGCUGUGUCCUGUGUGAAAGCCCCGGGCUUAACCUGGGAAUGGCAUGGGAAACUGGCGGGCUGGAGUGUGGCAGAGGGGGUGGAAUUCCGCGUGUAGCAGUGAAAUGCGUAGAGAUGCGGAGGAACACCGAUGGCGAAGGCAGCCCCCUGGGCUAACACUGACGCUCAGGCACGAAAGCGUGGGGAGCAAACAGG
RNAcentral lists this ribosomal RNA (252 nucleotides) under uncultured bacterium. Its description in RNAcentral is "partial 16S ribosomal RNA". It matches the Rfam family "Bacterial small subunit ribosomal RNA", at positions 524 to 776 of the family's 1533-position model. The record is from RNAcentral.